This 441-nucleotide ribosomal RNA is filed under the name uncultured bacterium. RNAcentral's name for it is "partial 16S ribosomal RNA". It matches the Rfam family "Bacterial small subunit ribosomal RNA", at positions 338 to 795 of the family's 1533-position model. The record is from RNAcentral.
CCUACGGGUGGCUGCAGUGGGGAAUAUUGCUCAAUGGGCGAAAGUCUGAUGCAGCAACGCCGCGUGAGCGAUGAAGGCCUUCUGGUCUGUAAGCUCUUUCCUUAAGGAAGUUAAUGACUGUACGUGAGGAGGAAUCUCCGGCUGACUACGUGCCAGCAGCCGCGGUAAUACGGGGGAUGCAAGCGUUAUCCGGAGUUAUUGGGUUUAAAGGGUGCGUAAGCUGUGAGGUAAGUCAGCGGUGAAAUGCCCCCGCUCAACGGGGUGAAUUGCCAUUGAUACUGCCUUGCUGGAGUGCGGAUGCGGUGGGAGGAAUGUGUGGUGUAGCGGUGAAAUGCAUAGAUAUCACACAGAACACCGAUUGCGAAGGCAUCUCACGAAUCCGCGAUUGACGCUGAUGCACGAAAGCGUGGGUAUCAAACAGGAUUAGAUACCCCAGUAGUC